Molecule: ribosomal RNA, 253 nt
Filed under: uncultured bacterium
Lineage: Bacteria
Description: partial 16S ribosomal RNA
Rfam family: Bacterial small subunit ribosomal RNA
Source: RNAcentral
UACGUAGGUGGCAAGCGUUGUCCGGAUUUAUUGGGUUUAAAGGGUGCGUAGGCGGCCAAUUAAGUCAGUGCUGAAAUACUCUAGCUUAACUAGAGGGGUGGCAUUGAUACUGAUUGGCUUGAGUGAAGUCGAAGUAGGCGGAAUUGACGGUGUAGCGGUGAAAUGCUUAGAUAUCGUCAAGAACACCGAUAGUGAAGACAGCUUACUAGACUUCAACUGACGCUGAGGCACGAAAGUGUGGGGAGCAAACAGG